Ananas comosus (pineapple) is the source of this 1040-nucleotide long non-coding RNA. RefSeq lists it as uncharacterized. Lineage: Eukaryota; Viridiplantae; Streptophyta; Magnoliopsida; Poales; Bromeliaceae. The transcript is spliced from 2 exons. The record is from RefSeq and is a predicted model, not a curated record.
UUUCUCCCUUUGGCACCGUUUGGCUGUCAUCUCAGAAUGGUGCGCCGCUUGGCAACCACGCCCUCCCUCCUCUCGCUUUUUCUUCUCUUUCUUUCGAUGCUGGUAUGUAUAUAUACCGUUGGUAGGUAAGCUUCCAUGCCUAAUAACUUCCGAGCUUGCAACUCUUAUCUGCCAACUCUGUUAUUGUUUGUAGUGUUAUUACCUGCAGUGAGGAGGUUUGGUUCUCUGGAAAUUCCUUCGCUUGGGUCUUAUUCUGAUGUUGUCUGUCUAUGUAUAUGUUUGAAUUUCUUGAUACUUGGGUGCUUCGAUGUCGAGAUGUGGUUUUGUAUGCGCUUCCUCUUGCCUUGUCUACUGUAAUCGGAUUCUUUUUUACCUAGCAUUUCGCCUUGGUUCUGUCCACUUUUUUCACCCUGAUUUUGGCAUUUCCUUUCGUUUAUUUUUUUUUUUUAUUUGGCUUCACUUUCCCUGGCAGAUUAUUUCUACAUGGGCUUUUUGUGCAAUUUCUGUGGUUUACCAAAUAUUUUUUUGCUCUAUUUUCUUAUUAUACUAUUAUCAUACUAUUUACAUUUUCUUCAGGUUCACCUCCUACUCGUUGUUGCUUUCUCCAUUCUUUGAGUUCGCAAUGUCACGGCAUGUCGAAUGACCUCAAGGCAAUCGUUGCAGCCUACGGCUAUUAGUGCAAAGUUUUGAUCCAUACAAUGUUCUUCAAACCCUUUUACUUUCAGGAAAAGAGGGGGGGAGCGGGGUGGGAAGGGCAUGAAUCUAAGGUUUGCAUUAUGUUUUUCUACAUAUUUGAGAUCUACUUGCUUUUUUUUUUUGGCACUAUUUUUUCUUUAAGUUUGGCACUCUGAAUAGUUCAUCUUUUAAAAUCCCUACUUAUGUUUCCUUACUGUUAGUGCAGGCAUGAAAGUGGUCAACAUUUCAUUUAAGCAAUUGCAGCUCGACAUUUUAUUUAUAGAACUAAUUACGGAUGUGUCCGAUCAACAAACUUAUAAGAUUUUACUCAUAUCAUAGAAAUGCAUCUAUAUAGUUAUUUUUCA